RNAcentral lists this ribosomal RNA (253 nucleotides) under uncultured bacterium. RNAcentral's name for it is "partial 16S ribosomal RNA". It matches the Rfam family "Bacterial small subunit ribosomal RNA", at positions 524 to 776 of the family's 1533-position model. The record is from RNAcentral.
UACGUACGAGGCGAGCGUUAUCCGGAAUUACUGGGCGUAAAGCGCACGCAGGCGGUCUGCUAAGUUUGGAGUGACAGUUGGUGGCUUAACUGCCAAAGUGCUUCGAAAACUGACAGACUUGAGGGCUUCAGAGGGACACGGAAUUCCGGGUGGAGUGGUGAAAUGCGUAGAGAUCCGGAGGAACACCAAAGGCGAAGGCAGUGUCCUGGGGAGUACCUGACGCUCAGGUGCGAAAGCCAGGGGAGCGAACGGG